CUUGAGAGUCUGCAUUCUUUCUAGAACUGUCUUUUUCUGAACUAAGUGUUGGAAAAUCUCCAUAAGUCAGAGAAAACCCAUCAUUCUUAGAGGACGUUACUCCCUGCAUAUAUGACAGCCAAUAAUGCUGGGUCAGGCAAUUUAAAAAGAGAGCAUGCAUAAAACCCACCAGAAAAAUAGGAGGAAAUGGGUUGGUGUUUUGUUUGGCAACUGCUGGAAGAAUCUCACAAAUAGAAUGCAAAUUACACAUAUAACUGCAGAAAACAUCAAUUGAAUAGCCAAAUCAACCAAACCUAGUGCUGCUGAGGCAUUCUUCCUCCUUAUAUUGCUAUUAUUCAAAAUUUCAUCUAAAAUCACUUCUUUCCCCAUCAGAACCAAUGGAGGUAAUGAGAGAUUGUGUUAAAAGAGGAUAAUCCUCCAUGCAAAUUAUGGUUUUCAUAACUUGAUAAUACACUUGCAAUAAAAGAAAGGAAAAGCUAAUGGUAUUGUAAUGCACUGGAAAAUUAAAGCAUCUAGUCUAUCCAGAAAUAUAAAUUGGAAAGCAGUGCAUAUAUAAUGCUAUAAUGAGUUCCUGUUGCUAGUUAUACU
Molecule: unclassified non-coding RNA, 588 nt
Filed under: Hevea brasiliensis (rubber tree)
Lineage: Eukaryota; Viridiplantae; Streptophyta; Magnoliopsida; Malpighiales; Euphorbiaceae
Source: RNAcentral